UGGGGAAUAUUGCACAAUGGGCGCAAGCCUGAUGCAGCAACGCCGCGUGAGGGACGACGGCCUUCGGGUUGUAAACCUCUUUUAGUAGGGAAGAAGCGAAAGUGACGGUACCUGCAGAAAAAGCACCGGCUAACUACGUGCCAGCAGCCGCGGUAAUACGUAGGGUGCGAGCGUUGUCCGGAAUUAUUGGGCGUAAAGAGCUCGUAGGCGGUCUGUCGCGUCUGCUGUGAAAACCCGAGGCUCAACCUCGGGCCUGCAGUGGGUACGGGCAGACUAGAGUGCGGUAGGGGAGAAUGGAAUUCCUGGUGUAGCGGUGGAAUGCGCAGAUAUCAGGAGGAACACCGAUGGCGAAGGCGAGUCUCUGGGCCAGUAACUGACGCUGAGGAGCGAAAAGCGUGGGGAGCGAACAGGAUUAGAUACCCUGGUAGUCCACGCCGUAAACGUUGGGCGCUAGAUGUGGGGACCAUUCCACGGUUUCCGUGUCGCAGCUAACGCAUUAAGCGCCCCGCCUGGGGAGUACGGCCGCAAGGCUAAAACUCAAAUGAAUUGACGGGGUCAUAGCUG
Molecule: ribosomal RNA, 564 nt
Filed under: uncultured bacterium
Lineage: Bacteria
Description: partial 16S ribosomal RNA
Rfam family: Bacterial small subunit ribosomal RNA
Source: RNAcentral